UUGACCUGAUUGAAUCAAAUUCAAUCAGACUUGAUCCAGACUUUAAUACUUAAUUAAAUUGAGCUAAUUAAUGAUAUAAUCAUUAAUUAAUCUUUCAUUAAUGAUAGAGUCUAAAUCUAGUGGGACUCUUCUCUAGAGUUUUCAUCCAGUGGGACUCUUCACCAGAGUCUCCAUCCACUGGAACUCUUCAGAUUAGCCAUA
RNAcentral lists this long non-coding RNA (201 nucleotides) under Elaeis guineensis (African oil palm). RNAcentral's name for it is "long non-coding RNA (EGUI_LNC041335)". Lineage: Eukaryota; Viridiplantae; Streptophyta; Magnoliopsida; Arecales; Arecaceae. The record is from RNAcentral.